CAGUGUAGCGCGCGUGCAGCCCUGGACAUCUAAGGGCAUCACAGACCUGUUAUUGCUCAACUUCAUGCGGCUAAGCCAUGCAUGUCUAAGUUCAAAUAAACCUAUAAUGGUGAAACCGCGAACGGCUCAUUAUAACAGCUAUAAUGUACUUGAUGUUGAUUAUCCAACGUGGAUACUGUGGCAAUUCUAGAGCUAAUAACAUGGCAACCAAAGCUCCSGAAUUUUAAACGRRSCGCAUCUAUUAGAUUAAAACCAAUCCGGAUUAUUAAUUUUAAUCCCGUUAAUUGGUGACUCCUGAAAUAGCCUAUGGCUGAUCCGCAUGGUCCUUGUUACCCGGCGACGUUAUCUAUCAAGUGUCUGCCUUAUCAACUUUCGAUGGUAGUUUAUGUGCCUACCAUGGUUGUAACGGGCAACGGAGAAUAAGGGUUCGACUCCGGAGAGGGAGCCUGAGAAACGGCUACCACAUCCAAGGAAGGCAGCAGGCGCGCAAAUUACCCACUCUCAGAAU
RNAcentral lists this ribosomal RNA (508 nucleotides) under Brugia malayi. Its description in RNAcentral is "bacterial SSU rRNA". The stretch from base 69 to 508 matches the Rfam family "Eukaryotic small subunit ribosomal RNA", at positions 42 to 459 of the family's 1831-position model. Lineage: Eukaryota; Metazoa; Nematoda; Chromadorea; Rhabditida; Onchocercidae. The record is from RNAcentral.